RNAcentral lists this long non-coding RNA (3526 nucleotides) under Homo sapiens (human). Its description in RNAcentral is "SPATA3 antisense RNA 1 (SPATA3-AS1)". The record is from RNAcentral. Lineage: Eukaryota; Metazoa; Chordata; Mammalia; Primates; Hominidae.
AGUCUUCUCUGCAGACACCAGCCUGGUGUCCUCCUUCAUCCCAGGCUGCCAGGCUAGGCAGGGGACAGCGGCUGCCCUGGUCCUCACAGCCCUGGCUACGGGGCUGGUGACAGCCAGAUCCUCAUGCUUCUGCGACCUGAGCGCUGCCUUCAGACACCUCUCUGCUGGCGUGUUCCUGGGUCCAUGAUGGAAGAAGGAAAAGUAUUUUUAAAAGACAAUCUGAAGCUCAUACUGUGACUGCAACAUAAAAUGUGUUCACCUGAGGAGACUGCUUUCAUCGCCAGUGUGUCACAGAUGGUGGAAACCUCAGAAGGCCACAGUCCAGAGUAGGGGCUUAAUGCAAGCUGCUGGAACUGAAUAAAGCUGACUUCUCUGAGCUGGAUGGCACCCUGGACAUCAACCAGCCCUUCACCUUCACGUCACACAGGAGGGACACUGGUCCAUAGAGAGGAUGCCUGCUCUGGUCACCAGCUGGAGAGUGGCAGACCUUGGGUACCUGACCUUUGGACUCUGCCACACAGAGCACUUCCUCAGUCCCUCCUGCUGCCCCUGGCAGGGUGGAGCUGGCAGGGCAGCUGAUCCAGGACCGUCCACUUCCAAGCCAGCAGGAGGAUGGAAAAGCAGAAUGGAGGGGAAACAACCUCCUUUGCAGGGCGUGACUCGGAAGUUGGACACAUCAUUUCCAGCCACAUUCCAUGGACCAGAAUUAGCCCUGUGACCAACUCUGGCUGCCAGAAAAUCUGGGAAAUACAGUCUCUGCUUGGGCGAUCAGGCAGGCAGUUAUAUCUUUGGGAACAUCUCUCACCCCCUGGGAACACCUGAGCAGAAACUGAAGGACAUUUAACAGAUUCUCCUUUGUGUCUAAUAAGAAUUGCCCCCAUCAGUCGGGGCUGUCCUAGGUGCUGGGUACAUAGGUCAUCUAUACACAACCCAGCAAUGGAGAGCACACCAUUCCCAGGCUGCAGAUGCAGAAACUGUGGCUCGGAGAGUUAAGCGUCUUGUUCAGAUUCAGUCAGCUGGUAGAUGGCAGGUCUGGGAUUGAGACCCAGGCCUGGCUGGUCCUGCCAGGACACAGUAUCACAGCUUUGACUGGGAGCUUCUUUUUGUUUACAUAUAUUUUUUAUGCUCAAUGUGCAUUCCUUUUGAAAUACACAGAAAAGGGAAAGAAGCCGGAGUCCUGCCUUGUGUAGGAGGGAUAAGUUAGAGGUGUGCACCGGGAUAAAUCUGCCUCCCGCGCUGGCCCUGGCCCUGGCCCUGGCCCUGGCCCUGGCCCUGAUCCUGCUCCUGAUUCUGGUCCUUGGGGCCUGGGCGGCGAUUCCCGGCGCUGGCUGAGCGUCACCGGCCACCAGAGGGCGCUGCCGGGCUACCGGUCCGGUCGCCCGGGGAUCACAGCCUCAGCGGACAGGAAAUGAUCAACAGCUUCUCCUCUCGGAUCCACGUGGACUCAAGGAAUCUCCGGGGGGCAGGACAGGUGCAGAGCCGAGUGCAAAGGUGGAAUUCUAUUCCCAAAGCACAUCCCGCGCCCCUUUCCUCUGCAAAGUCCCGGAACCGCGUGACUCCGGAUGAGUUAUCGGGGCUGGAACCGAGGGUUCAGCCCCCUGCGCCUCUGUGUGUCCCGGUCCCUUUCCUCCAAGUAGACAGGAGGCAUCUCCUCAUCGGCUCAGUUCACAUUCCUCCAGGGGCUCAAAGGGGACCCAGUCCCUGUCUUGGGACACCAAGUCAGGCAGACUCCAGGAGAGAGGAAGGAAGAUGAUUCCCGCGCUCAGGUGGGCGGGUCCUGCUCCCUCUGUUGAAGACCUGAAGACAAAGAUUGACCCUCACCCUUCACCUCCCACCUCUUCCUCACCUUGGAAAAGAAAAACAUUCCUGAGAGGGGGGAUUUGUCAGCAGAAGGCUUUGGGACUAGAACUGCAGCAUCAGCUCUUCCUGGUUCCCCAGCGCCCAGGCCUACCCUGCAGAUGUGGGCUUACUGGCCUCCACGAUCAGUGAGCCGGUUCCUUAAAAUCAACCUCUCUCUCUUCCUCUGUCUCUCCCUCUCUCUCUCUCCCUGUCCACAUCCCAUUGGUUCUGUUUCUCUGGGGAAACCUGACUAAUAAGGGGACUCUCAAGGCCCUGGCUGAGGAUGGCAGGCCUGAAGAUUCUCUGAGGCAUUCAGCAUUGAAUGAGCACCAGCUGGGCGUGGAGCUGUGUCAGGCGCUGGGCACAGGACUCAGCCCCGGAACCAAGUGUGGGCCCACAUGGUGUGGGCCUUUGUCUGUCCCUGUCAUGGCUUUGGACACACGCGUGGCCCAGAGGGGACAACGGAUCUGGGUGGCGAGGUGGGAAAGCUCACCCCAGUAUUCCUCUUGGUGGCAGCAGUCCCUUAAGGGGUCGCCUGAGUCGUGAGACCCACAGGUGUGGACCUCCCCCCCCCCUUCCUCCCCUCUCCCCCAGUGACUUUAUCCAGCACCUGCCCUGCCCAGCCUUGCACAGGUUACCCUGUGACCCACUCACAGGGAGAUAGGGCAGCUUCUUUCUGCCCUCAGGAGCCUUGUUCUCAAGGCAGCUCAUCCAAGAGAAUAACAUACAGUAGAUUGCCACACACAUGACUGUGGCUUAGUCCAGGAAAGCCACUUAUAAAAUCCGGAGGUGAAGGAAGAAAAGAUUGAAAUCUCUGUAACAAAUCCAUUUCCCUCCUCCCUCCCUCCCUUCAUCUCCAAAGUAGACCUGCCCCAGGGCCAGGGAUCCUCUCCCUGCAAGGCUAGGUAACAAGCGGAUUUUUGCUUUUGAGCUUCAAGGUCCUGGCUUCUGGUGGUUUAUAGGUGAUCUUUGAGGGUGGUUUUGACGAGAGGCUUGUUAGCUUCUCUACGCUUUUGAAACGCCCACUCUCCCCACAAGAAUCUGGGACUUUGCAGAACCGGUCCAAGGUGAGAGUAGGAUUAAUUGCCAAAUGAGUUUUCUCAUAAGCCUGGGGUCCAAAGUACAUUGGACAGCCAGCAAAUGCUUAUGAGGGGUUUGAACAAGUGAAAUCAAGGCUCAAGGUCAUAGGACUCAAUGGAGAGUGAGGCAGCUGGGAUCUGGGAUGACCGGCAUGGGCCUCAAAGCAGGGGGCUUGGAAAUAGGCCCUGAAGAGGGGGUCGCUUGCGUGGCUAGGAAGGGGUUGGGGCCCACUAGCAUUUCUCAGAAUGCCUAUUUUCUUCGGCAGUGAGAGCUGGAGGGAGGGAUGGGUUUCUCAGCACAGUUCCAGUAUGAGUGGCUGUCACCACAGGGCGCCAUUGCCAAGUCAGAAAGAAACAAAGCUUAACCGCUGCCUCCUGUCCCCCAUGGUCUGUGAAAGUCUCAUACUGUAGUGCGUCUAAUGGUGGCCCCCCAAAAGAUACAUCUACAUUAUAAUUCCUGGGACCCAGAAAUGUGACCUUAUUUGGAAAAAGGGUCUUUGACCUUAUUUGGAAAAAGCGUCUUUACAAAUGUAAGUGACCUUAUUUGGAAAAAGUGUCUUUACAAAUGUAAUUUACAACAUUGAAUGAGCAAAAAAAAAAAAAAAAAA